UAGUUCGAUCCUGGCUCAGGAUGAACGCUGGCGGCAUGCCUAAUACAUGCAAGUCGAACGGAGUGAAGCCUUCGGGUUUCAUUCAGUGGCGAACGGGUGAGUAAUACGCAGGGAACCUGGCCAUGGCAGGGGGAUACACUCUGGAAACGGAGCAUAAGACCCCAUAGGCAGUAAGGCGGCAUCGCCUUACUGUUAAAGAAAGCUGAAAGGCUUUGGCGAUGGAUGGACCUGCGGUGCAUUAGCUUGUUGGUGAGGCAACGGCUUACCAAGGCGAUGAUGCAUAGCCGGCCUGAGAGGGCGGACGGCCACACUGGGACUGAGACACGGCCCAGACUCCUGCGGGAGGCAGCAGUAGGGAAUUUUCGUCAAUGGGCGCAAGCCUGAACGAGCAAUGCCGCGUGAGUGAGGAAGGUCUUCGGACUGUAAAGCUCUGUUGCCGGGGAAAAAGGGGAAAUGCAGGAAAUGGCAUUUCAUGGAUGGUACCCGGCCAGAAAGCCACGGCUAACUACGUGCCAGCAGCCGCGGUAAUACGUAGGUGGCGAGCGUUAUCCGGAAUGAUUGGGCGUAAAGGGCGCGCAGGCGGUCUGUUAAGUCUGAAGGCAAAGGGAUGAGCUCAACUCAUUUAUGAUUCAGAAACUGGCAGACUUGAGGACAGGAGAGGGCGGUGGAACUCCAUGUGUAGCGGUAAAAUGCGCAGAGAUAUGGAAGAACACCAGUGGCGAAGGCGGCCGCCUGGCCUGUGACUGACGCUGAGGCACGAAAGCGUGGGGAGCAAAUAGGAUUAGAUACCCUAGUAGUCCACGCCGUAAACGAUGAGGAGCAGGUGUUGGGAGUGAAAUCUCAGUGCCGAAGCCAACGCAGUGACUCCUCCGCCUGGGGAGUAUGCACGCAAGUGUGAAACUCAAAGGAAUUGACGGGGGCCCGCACAAGCGGUGGAGUAUGUGGUUUAAUUCGAAGCAACGCGAAGAACCUUACCAGGUUUUGACAUCGGAUGCGAAGGCGCAGAGAUGCGCUGGAGGCUAUCAUCCAGACAGGUGGUGCAUGGUUGUCGUCAGCUCGUGUCGUGAGAUGUUCAGUUAAGUCUGGCAACGAGCGCAACCCCCGUGGUAUGUUACUAACGCUUUAGGGCGAGGACUCAUAUCAGACUGCCGGUGACAAACCGGAGGAAGGCGGGGAUGACGUCAAAUCAUCAUGCCCCUUAUGACCUGGGCUACACACGUACUACAAUGGCGUCUACAGAGGGAAGCGACCCUGAGAAGGGAAGCGAAACCGGAAAAGGGCGUCCCAGUUCGGAUUGAAGUCUGCAACCCGACUUCAUGAAGAUGGAAUCGCUAGUAAUCGCGGAUCAGCAUGCCGCGGUGAAUACGUUCCCGGGCCUUGUACACACCGCCCGUCAAACCAUGGAAGCCGGCAACGCCCGAAGCCGGUGGCAUAACCUUUUAGGAGUGAGCCGUCGAAGGCGGGGCCGAUGACUGGGGUUAAGUCGUAACAAGGUACCC
RNAcentral lists this ribosomal RNA (1499 nucleotides) under uncultured bacterium. Its description in RNAcentral is "bacterial SSU rRNA". It matches the Rfam family "Bacterial small subunit ribosomal RNA". The record is from RNAcentral.